UGGAAACGACGUCUAAUACUGGAUAUGAUCACCGGCCGCAUGGUCUGGUGGUGGAAAGAUUUUUUGGUUGGGGAUGGACUCGCGGCCUAUCAGCUUGUUGGUGAGGUAAUGGCUCACCAAGGCGACGACGGGUAGCCGGCCUGAGAGGGUGACCGGCCACACUGGGACUGAGACACGGCCCAGACUCCUACGGGAGGCAGCAGUGGGGAAUAUUGCACAAUGGGCGAAAGCCUGAUGCAGCAACGCCGCGUGAGGGAUGACGGCCUUCGGGUUGUAAACCUCUUUUAGUAGGGAAGAAGCGAAAGUGACGGUACCUGCAGAAAAAGCACCGGCUAACUACGUGCCAGCAGCCGCGGUAAUACGUAGGGUGCAAGCGUUGUCCGGAAUUAUUGGGCGUAAAGAGCUCGUAGGCGGUUUGUCGCGUCUGCUGUGAAAUCCCGAGGCUCAACCUCGGGCUUGCAGUGGGUACGGGCAGACUAGAGUGCGGUAGGGGAGAUUGGAAUUCCUGGUGUAGCGGUGGAAUGCGCAGAUAUCAGGAGGAACACCGAUGGCGAAGGCAGAUCUCUGGGCCGUUACUGACGCUGAGGAGCGAAAGCGUGGGGAGCGAACAGGAUUAGAUACCCUGGUAGUCCACGCCGUAAACGUUGGGCGCU
This 653-nucleotide ribosomal RNA is filed under the name Curtobacterium sp. Its description in RNAcentral is "bacterial SSU rRNA". It matches the Rfam family "Bacterial small subunit ribosomal RNA", at positions 151 to 817 of the family's 1533-position model. Lineage: Bacteria; Bacillati; Actinomycetota; Actinomycetes; Micrococcales; Microbacteriaceae. The record is from RNAcentral.